AAGAAAGUAGCCCAAGUAUAAGGCAACUAGCUGUUAACUAGUAGAUGCGAUUAAUCGCCUUUCUUU
RNAcentral lists this transfer RNA (66 nucleotides) under Magallana hongkongensis (Hong Kong oyster). Its description in RNAcentral is "tRNA-Asn". It matches the Rfam family "tRNA". Rfam says of the family: Transfer RNA (tRNA) molecules are approximately 80 nucleotides in length. Their secondary structure includes four short double-helical elements and three loops (D, anti-codon, and T loops). The record is from RNAcentral. Lineage: Eukaryota; Metazoa; Mollusca; Bivalvia; Ostreida; Ostreidae.